Molecule: small RNA, 621 nt
Filed under: Eirenidae gen. sp. GAM-2014
Lineage: Eukaryota; Metazoa; Cnidaria; Hydrozoa; Leptothecata; Eirenidae
Description: eukaryotic LSU rRNA
Rfam family: Eukaryotic large subunit ribosomal RNA
Source: RNAcentral
UACGUGAAACCGUUAGUAGGGAAGCGUAUGGAAUUAGCAAUGCUGGUCAGAGAUUCAGGUGUCUUUGCACGGCGCUCUCGUGUCGUAUCAGAUCCGAAGGACUGUGCGGCGCGUGUGGUGUUCGUGUGAGCAUCGCACUUUUCUGGCUCGGUGCGUCAACGAGUAUUCGAACUGGGUGACACGUCUGUGAGAAAGGUAGCAGGCUUCGGCUUGUGUUAUAGACUCGCACGACUGACUCAGGUCGGAUAGAGGGGUUACGGUACGUGCUUACCUUCGGGUGGGCUGCACCUCUGCGCUUGUGUUAGCAGUGACCAUUGUAGACUGCGUGCAGUGUACAUGAACUUCUGUUGGCCCAUAGUGUGGAGUUAGUGGCAAACGGUUUGCCUAAGUCGUUGGCGGUCAUAUGGUUUCAUACGACCCGUCUUGAAACACGGACCAAGGAGUCUGACAUGUAUGCGAGUCUUCGGGUGACAGAAACCCUCGGGGCAUAAUGAAAGUAAAGACUUCGCAAGGAGUCGAAGUGAGAUGUGAGCCGUCGCUGCGACUCACCGCAUCAUUGACCGACCUAUUCUACUCUUAGAAAGGUUUGAGUAAGAGCAUAAAUGUCGGGACCCGAAAGAG